This 495-nucleotide ribosomal RNA is filed under the name uncultured bacterium. Its description in RNAcentral is "partial 16S ribosomal RNA". It matches the Rfam family "Bacterial small subunit ribosomal RNA", at positions 28 to 507 of the family's 1533-position model. The record is from RNAcentral.
GACGAACGCUGGCGGCGUGCCUAAUACAUGCAAGUCGAACGCUGAAGGAGUAGCUUCCUGCUCUGGAUGAGUGGCGAACGCGUGAGUAACGCGUAUGUAACCUGCCUUGUAGCUGGGGAUAACUAUUGGAAACGAUAGCUAAUACCGCAUAAGAUUAGAUGUUGCAUGACAUUUGCUUAAAAGUUGCAAUUGCAUCACUACCAUGUGGAGCUGCGGUGUUUUAGCGUGUUGGGGGGGUAACGGCUCACCAAGGCGACGAUACAUAGCCGACCUGAGAGGGUGAGUGGCCACACUGGGACUGGGACAAGGCUCAGACUUCUACGGGAGGCAGCAAGAGGGAAUCUUCGGACAUUGACGGAAGUCUGAACGAGGAACGCCGGGUGAGUGAAGAAGGUUUUCGGGUCGGAAAGCUCUGUUGUAAGGGAAGAACGAGUGUGAGAGUGGAAAGUUCACGCUGUGACGGUAUCUUACCAGAAAGCGACGGCUAACUACGUG